UCCGGUUGAUCCCGCCGGACCUGACUGCUAUCGGAUUGAUACUAAGCCAUGCGAGUCAUUGUAGCAAUACAAGGCAGACGGCUCAGUAACGCGUAGUCAACCUAACCUAUGGACGGGAAUAACCUCGGGAAACUGAGAAUAAUGCCCGAUGGAACACUAUGCCUGGAAUGGUUUGUGUUCCAAAUGAUUUAUCGCCGUAGGAUGGGACUGCGGCCUAUCAGUUUGUUGGUGAGGUAAUGGCCCACCAAGACUAUUACAGGUACGGGCUCUGAGAGGAGUAGCCCGGAGAUGGGUACUGAGACACGGACCCAGGCCCUAUGGGGCGCAGCAGGCGAGAAAACUUUGCAAUGUGCGAAAGCACGACAAGGUUAAUCCGAGUGGUUUCUGCUAAAGGAACCUUUUGUCGGUCCUAGAAACACCGAUGAAUAAGGGGUGGGCAAGUUCUGGUGUCAGCCGCCGCGGUAAAACCAGCACCUCAAGUGGUCAGGAUGAUUAUUGGGCCUAAAGCAUCCGUAGCCUGCUUUGUUAGUUUUCGGUUAAAUCUGUACGCUCAACGUACAGGCUGCCGGGAAUACUGCAAAGCUAGGGAGUGGGAGAGGUAGACGGUACUCGGUAGGAAGGGGUAAAUCCUUUGAUCUAUUGAUGACCACCUGUGGCGAAGGCGGUCUACCAGAACACGUCCGACGGUGAGGGAUGAAAGCUGGGGGAGCAAACCGGAUUAGAUACCCGGGUAGUCCCAGCCGUAAACCAUGCAAACUCAGUGAUGCAUUGGCUUGUGGCCAAUGCAGUGCUGCAGGGAAGCCGUUAAGUUUGCCGCCUGGGAAGUACGUACGCAAGUAUGAAACUUAAAGGAAUUGGCGGGGGAGCACCACAAGGGGUGAAGCCUGCGGUUCAAUUGGAGUCAACGCCGGGAAU
RNAcentral lists this ribosomal RNA (915 nucleotides) under uncultured archaeon. Its description in RNAcentral is "bacterial SSU rRNA". It matches the Rfam family "Archaeal small subunit ribosomal RNA", at positions 1 to 925 of the family's 1478-position model. The record is from RNAcentral.